GACGAACGCUGGCGGCGUGCUUAACACAUGCAAGUCGAACGGAAAGGCCCUGCUUGUGUGGGGUGCUCGAGUGGCGAACGGGUGAGAAACAUGUGAGUAACCUUCCCUGGACUGGGGGACAACUUCAGGAAACUGGGGCUAAUACCGGAUAGGAGCGCCUGCUGCAUGGGGGGGGUUGGAAAGUUUCGGCGGUGGGGGGUGGACUCUCGGGUUAUCAGCUUGUUGGUGGGGGAGUGGCUUACCAAGGCUUUGGCGGGUAGCCGGCAUGGGAGCGUGGCCAGCCACCAUGGUCCUACGGGACGCAGCAGUCUCCUACGGGGGGCAGAGGGGGAGAGUAUUGCACAGUGGGCCGGAGCCUGAUGCGGCAGCGCUGCGAGCGGGAUGACCGCCUUCGGGUUGUAAACCGCUUUAAGCUGUGACGAAGCGUGAGUGACGUUACUGGGUAAAGAAGCACCGGCUAACUACGUG
RNAcentral lists this ribosomal RNA (468 nucleotides) under uncultured bacterium. RNAcentral's name for it is "partial 16S ribosomal RNA". It matches the Rfam family "Bacterial small subunit ribosomal RNA", at positions 28 to 507 of the family's 1533-position model. The record is from RNAcentral.